UACGUAGGGUGCGAGCGUUGUCCGGAAUUAUUGGGCGUAAAGAGCUCGUAGGCGGUUUGUCGCGUCGGCCGUGAAAUCUCCACGCUUAACGUGGAGCGUGCGGUCGAUACGGGCAGACUUGAGUUCGGCAGGGGAGACUGGAAUUCCUGGUGUAGCGGUGAAAUGCGCAGAUAUCAGGAGGAACACCGGUGGCGAAGGCGGGUCUCUGGGCCAAAACUGACGCUGAGGAGCGAAAGCGUGGGGAGCGAACAGG
This 253-nucleotide ribosomal RNA is filed under the name uncultured bacterium. Its description in RNAcentral is "partial 16S ribosomal RNA". It matches the Rfam family "Bacterial small subunit ribosomal RNA", at positions 524 to 776 of the family's 1533-position model. The record is from RNAcentral.